GUUGAACGCUGGCGGCACGCCUAACACAUGCAAGUCGAGCGGCAGCAUGCUUAGUAGCAAUACUAAGUGAUGGCGAGCGGCGGACGGGUGAGGAACACGUAGGAACCUGCCCAAGAGAGGGGGAUAACUAAGGGAAACUUUAGCUAAUACCGCAUAAACUCUGAGGAGAAAAGUUGCCUGUAAGGGUAGCGCUUUUGGAGGGGCCUGCGUCCGAUUAGUUAGUUGGUGAGGUAAAGGCUCACCAAGACGAUGAUCGGUAACUGGUCUGAGAGGACGACCAGUCACACUGGGACUGAGACACGGCCCAGACUCCUACGGGAGGCAGCAGUGGGGAAUCUUGGACAAUGGGGGCAACCCUGAUCCAGCGAUGCCGCGUGGGUGAAGAAGGCCUUCGGGUUGUAAAGCCCUUUAGGCGGGGAAGAAGGAUGUGGGCUGAAUAAGUCUGUAUUUUGACGGUACCCGCAGAAUAAGCACCGGCAAACUCUGUGCCAGCCGCCGCGGUAA
Molecule: ribosomal RNA, 504 nt
Filed under: uncultured bacterium
Lineage: Bacteria
Description: partial 16S ribosomal RNA
Rfam family: Bacterial small subunit ribosomal RNA
Source: RNAcentral